AGAGUGAACGCUGGCGGUAGGCCUAACACAUGCAAGUCGAACGGCAGCACAGUGGUAGCAAUACCAUGGGUGGCGAGUGGCGGACGGGUGAGGAAUACAUCGGAAUCUACCUUUUCGGUGGGGGAUAACGUAGGGAAACUUACGCUAAUACCGCAUACGCCCUUUGGGGGAAAGCGGGGGAUCGCAAGACCUCGCGCGAUUGGAGCGGCUGAUAUCAGUAUUAGGGUUGUUGGUGAAGGUAAAACGCUCACCAACGCCGACGAUCUGUAGUCGUGGUUUGAGAGAACGACCAGCCACACGUGGGACUGACGACGACCGGACCCAGACCUCCGUACGGGGAGAC
This 343-nucleotide ribosomal RNA is filed under the name uncultured soil bacterium. RNAcentral's name for it is "bacterial SSU rRNA". It matches the Rfam family "Bacterial small subunit ribosomal RNA", at positions 26 to 349 of the family's 1533-position model. The record is from RNAcentral.